RNAcentral lists this ribosomal RNA (301 nucleotides) under uncultured bacterium. Its description in RNAcentral is "partial 16S ribosomal RNA". It matches the Rfam family "Bacterial small subunit ribosomal RNA", at positions 509 to 807 of the family's 1533-position model. The record is from RNAcentral.
CAGUAGCCGCGGGAAUACGUAGGGUGCAAGCGUUAAUCAGAAUUACUGGGCGUAAAGCGUGCGCAGGCGGUUUGUUAAGACGGAUGUGAAAUCCCCGGGCUCAACCUGGGACCUGCAUUUGUGACUGUAUAGCUAGAGUACGGUAGAGGGGGAUGGAAUUCCGCGUGUAGCAGUGAAAUGCGUAGAUAUGCGGAGGAACACCGAUAGCGAAGGCAAUCCCCUGGACCUGUACUGACGCUCAUGCACGAAAGCGUGGGGAGCAAACAGGAUUAGAUACCCCGGUAGUCCCUGUCUCUUAUAC